UCUUUCCGACCCGUCUUGUAACACGGACCAAGGAGUCUAGCGUGCGCGCGAGUCGCGGGGUAUCCGAGGAGUAGUAGUCGUUUCGGCGGCGAACGCUCCUCGUCACGAUACGAAACCCGUGUACGUACGUUGUGCGAAGGCGUAAUGAAAGUGAAAGGCGGCG
This 163-nucleotide ribosomal RNA is filed under the name Thalassionema nitzschioides. RNAcentral's name for it is "partial Eukaryotic large subunit ribosomal RNA". Lineage: Eukaryota; Bacillariophyta; Fragilariophyceae; Thalassionematales; Thalassionemataceae. The record is from RNAcentral.